Molecule: small nuclear RNA, 107 nt
Filed under: Marmota marmota marmota (Alpine marmot)
Lineage: Eukaryota; Metazoa; Chordata; Mammalia; Rodentia; Sciuridae
Also listed under: 1 other name
Source: RNAcentral
GUGCUUGCUUCGGCAGCACAUAUACUAAAACUGGAACGAUACAGAGAAGAUUAGCUUGGCCCCUGUGCAAGGAUGACAUGCAAAUUCAUGAAGCGUUCCAUAUUUUU